Molecule: ribosomal RNA, 405 nt
Filed under: uncultured bacterium
Lineage: Bacteria
Description: partial 16S ribosomal RNA
Rfam family: Bacterial small subunit ribosomal RNA
Source: RNAcentral
AUUGAACGCUGGCGGCAGGCCUAACACAUGCAAGUCGAACGAGUGGCGGACGGGUGAGUCAUGUCUGGGACACUGCCUGAUGGAGGGGGAUAACUACUGGAAACGGUAGCUAAUACCGCAUACCAUCAGAUGUGCCCAGAUGGGAUUAGCUUGUUGGUGGGGGAACGGCUCACCAAGGCGACGAUCACUCGCUGGUCUGAGAGGAUGACCAGCCACCCUGGAGCUGAGACACGGGCCAGACUCCUACGUGAGGCAGUGGUGGGGAAUAUUGCACAAUGGGCGCAAGCCUGAUGCAGCCAUGCCGCGUGUAUGAAGAAGGCCUUCGGGUUGUAAAGUACUUUCAGCGGGGAGGCGUUACCCGCAGAAGAAGCACCGGCUAACUCCGUGCCAGCAGCCGCGGAAUUC